Molecule: transfer RNA, 71 nt
Rfam family: tRNA
About the family: Transfer RNA (tRNA) molecules are approximately 80 nucleotides in length. Their secondary structure includes four short double-helical elements and three loops (D, anti-codon, and T loops).
GCGGAGAUGGCGGAACGGCUACGCGCCCGCCUGCAGAGCGGGUCAACUGGGUUCGACUCCCAGUCUCCGCU